GGGGGCGUAGCUCAGUUGGUAGAGCGCCAGCUUUGCAAGCUGGAUGCCGCCGGUUCGAACCCGGCCGCCUCCACCA
This 76-nucleotide transfer RNA is filed under the name Lentisphaerota bacterium. Its description in RNAcentral is "Lentisphaerae bacterium (freshwater metagenome) tRNA-Ala". It matches the Rfam family "tRNA". Rfam says of the family: Transfer RNA (tRNA) molecules are approximately 80 nucleotides in length. Their secondary structure includes four short double-helical elements and three loops (D, anti-codon, and T loops). Further hydrogen bonds mediate the characteristic L-shaped molecular structure. tRNAs have two regions of fundamental functional importance: the anti-codon, which is responsible for specific mRNA codon recognition, and the 3' end, to which the tRNAs corresponding amino acid is attached (by aminoacyl-tRNA synthetases). tRNAs cope with the degeneracy of the genetic code in two manners: having more than one tRNA (with a specific anti-codon) for a particular amino acid; and 'wobble' base-pairing, i.e. permitting non-standard base-pairing at the 3rd anti-codon position. RNAcentral also lists the same sequence under 1 other name. Lineage: Bacteria; Pseudomonadati; Lentisphaerota. The record is from RNAcentral.